RNAcentral lists this ribosomal RNA (497 nucleotides) under uncultured bacterium. RNAcentral's name for it is "partial 16S ribosomal RNA". It matches the Rfam family "Bacterial small subunit ribosomal RNA", at positions 28 to 507 of the family's 1533-position model. The record is from RNAcentral.
GAUGAACGCUGGCGGCGUGCCUAAUACAUGCAAGUCGAGCGAACAGACGAGGAGCUUGCUCCUCUGACGUUAGCGGCGGACGGGUGAGUAACACGUGGAUGACCUACCUAUACGACUGGGAUGACUUCGGGAAACCGGAGCUAAUACCGGAUAAUAUAUUGAACCGCAUGGGUCAAUAGUGAAAGACGGUUUUGCUGUCGCUUAUAGAUGGAUCCGCGCCGCAUUAGCUAGUUGGUAAGGUAACGGCUUACCAAGGCAACGAUGGUAAGCCGCCCUGAGAGCGUGAUCGCCCACCUUGUCUCUGAGACAGGGCCGAGACUCUGGCGCUGGGACGCAGUCGGGACUCUUACGCAAUGGGGCAGAGCUUGAUGGAGGAACGUCGCCUGAGGCAUGAACGACCUCUGCCCCUUAAGCGCUGUUAUUAUUGAAGAAGUAAUGCGCAAUUACCCAUGCUGGUAAUGACGGUACCGAAUCAGAAAGCCCCGGCUAACUCCGUG